Molecule: ribosomal RNA, 449 nt
Filed under: uncultured bacterium
Lineage: Bacteria
Description: partial 16S ribosomal RNA
Rfam family: Bacterial small subunit ribosomal RNA
Source: RNAcentral
GUCGAGAAUCUUUCACAAUGGGGGCAACCCUGAUGGAGCGACGCCGCGUGGAGGAUAAGGUCUUCGGAUUGUAAACUCCUGUCAUGCGUGAACAAGGUUGCUUGGAUAAUACCUGAGCAAAUUGAUGGUAGCGCAAGAGGAAGAGACGGCUAACUCUGUGCCAGCAGCCGCGGUAAUACAGAGGUCUCAAGCGUUGUUCGGAAUCACUGGGCGUAAAGGGUGCGUAGGUGGCGUGGCAAGUCAGAUGUGAAAGCCCGGGGCUCAACCUCGGAACUGCAUCCGAUACUGCCAUGCUAGAGUACUGGAGGGGUGACUAGAAUUCUCGGUGUAGCAGUGAAAUGCGUAGAUAUCGAGAGGAAUACCAAAGGCGUAGGCAGGUCACUGGACAGUUACUGACACUGAGGCACGAAGGCCAGGGGAGCGAACGGGAUUAGAAACCCUUGUAGUCC